GUUCGGUACCUAGUUGCAGAGAUUACUUCCUGCAAACAAACUUAAAAACUUUACCUCUUUAUAAUAUUAGUGUAGAUAAAAUUUCUUUACAAUAUUAAAAA
Long non-coding RNA from Maniola jurtina (meadow brown), 101 nucleotides. RefSeq lists it as uncharacterized. The transcript has 3 exons. Lineage: Eukaryota; Metazoa; Arthropoda; Insecta; Lepidoptera; Nymphalidae. The record is from RefSeq and is a predicted model, not a curated record.